GACAGAGGCCUCAAGCGUUAGGCGGAACCACUGGGCUUAAAGCGUGUGUAGGCGGAUCGUUAAGUGUCUUGUGAAAUCCCACGGCUCACCCGUGGAACUGCUGGGCAUACUGGCGAUCUUGGGCCAACUAGGGGCAACUGGAACAAACGGUGGAGCGGUGAAAUGCGUAGAUAUCGUUUGGAACGCCAAUGGUGAAAACAGGUCGCUGGGGAUGAGCUGACGCUGAGACACGAAAGCCAGGGGAGCAAACGGG
This 253-nucleotide ribosomal RNA is filed under the name uncultured bacterium. Its description in RNAcentral is "partial 16S ribosomal RNA". It matches the Rfam family "Bacterial small subunit ribosomal RNA", at positions 524 to 776 of the family's 1533-position model. The record is from RNAcentral.